This 253-nucleotide ribosomal RNA is filed under the name uncultured bacterium. Its description in RNAcentral is "partial 16S ribosomal RNA". It matches the Rfam family "Bacterial small subunit ribosomal RNA", at positions 524 to 776 of the family's 1533-position model. The record is from RNAcentral.
UACAGAGGUGGCAAGCGUUGUUCGGAAUUACUGGGCGUAAAGGGCGCGUAGGCGGUCUUGUAAGUCUUGUGUGAAAUCCCUCGGCUUAACUGAGGAACUGCACAGGAUACUGCGAGACUUGAAUUCGGGAGAGGGAAGCGGAAUUCCGGGUGUAGCGGUGAAAUGCGUAGAUAUCCGGAGGAACACCGGUGGCGAAGGCGGCUUCCUGGACCGUUAUUGACGCUGAGGCGCGAAAGCUAGGGGAGCAAACGGG